ACUCCUACGGGAGGCAGCAGUGGGGAAUUUUGCGCAAUGGGCGAAAGCCUGACGCAGCAACGCCGCGUGAGUGAUGAAGGCUUUCGGGUCGUAAAGCUCUGUCGAGGGGAAAGAAGUGUAUUGUGGUUAAUACCCGCGAUACUUGACGGUACCCCUAAAGGAAGCACCGGCUAACUCCGUGCCAGCAGCCGCGGUAAUACGGGGGGUGCAAGCGUUGUUCGGAAUUAUUGGGCGUAAAGAGCGUGUAGGCGGUUUGUUAAGUCUGAUGUGAAAGCCCUGGGCUCAACCCAGGAAGUGCAUUGGAAACUGUCAGACUUGAAUACGGGAGAGGGCAGUGGAAUUCCUAGUGUAGGAGUGAAAUCCGUAGAUAUUAGGAGGAACACCGGUGGCGAAGGCGGCUGCCUGGACCGAUAUUGACGCUGAGACGCGAAAGCGUGGGUASCAAMCAGGAUUAGAUACCCUGGUAGUCCACGCCGUAAACGAUGAGAACUAGGUGUUGCGGGUAUUGACCCCUGCAGUGCCGCAGCUAACGCAUUAAGUUCUCCGCCUGGGAAGUACGGUCGCAAGACUAAAACUCAAAUGAAUUGACGG
This 591-nucleotide ribosomal RNA is filed under the name uncultured Geobacter sp. Its description in RNAcentral is "bacterial SSU rRNA". It matches the Rfam family "Bacterial small subunit ribosomal RNA", at positions 335 to 916 of the family's 1533-position model. Lineage: Bacteria; Pseudomonadati; Thermodesulfobacteriota; Desulfuromonadia; Geobacterales; Geobacteraceae. The record is from RNAcentral.